Molecule: ribosomal RNA, 253 nt
Filed under: uncultured bacterium
Lineage: Bacteria
Description: partial 16S ribosomal RNA
Rfam family: Bacterial small subunit ribosomal RNA
Source: RNAcentral
UACGUAGGGGGCUAGCGUUGUCCGGAAUCAUUGGGCGUAAAGCGCGUGUAGGCGGCCCGAUAAGUCCGCUGUGAAAGUCCAGGGCUCAACCCUGGGAUGCCGGUGGAUACUGUCGGGCUCGAGUCCGGAAGAGGCGAGUGGAAUUCCUGGUGUAGCGGUGAAGUGCGCAGAUAUCAGGAGGAACACCAAUGGCGAAGGCAGCUCGCUGGGACGUGACUGACGCUGAGACGCGAAAGCGUGGGGAGCAAACAGG